Molecule: ribosomal RNA, 415 nt
Filed under: uncultured bacterium
Lineage: Bacteria
Description: bacterial SSU rRNA
Rfam family: Bacterial small subunit ribosomal RNA
Source: RNAcentral
AACGUACGCUGGCGGCACGCCUAACACAUGCAAGUCGAACGCAGUAGCAAUACUGAGUGGCAGACGGGUGAGUAACAUGUGGGAAUCUGCCUUGUGGUUCAGGACAACAUUGGGAAACCGAUGCUAAUACUGGAUAAGCCCUUACGGGGAAAGUUUUAAUGCCAUAAGAUGAGCCCGCAUUUGAUUAGUUAGUUGGUGAGGUAAUGGCUCACCAAGACAAUGAUCAAUAGCUGAUCUGAGAGGAUGAUCAGCCACACUGGGACUGAGACACGGCCCAGACUCCUACGGGAGGCAGCAGUGGGGAAUCUUGCACAAUGGAGGAAACUCUGAUGCAGCGAUGCCGCGUGAGUGAAGAAGGUCCUUGGGUUGUAAAGCUCUCUUGUACNGGAAGAUAAUGACUGUACCCUAAGAUAAG